This 406-nucleotide ribosomal RNA is filed under the name uncultured bacterium. Its description in RNAcentral is "partial 16S ribosomal RNA". It matches the Rfam family "Bacterial small subunit ribosomal RNA", at positions 30 to 526 of the family's 1533-position model. The record is from RNAcentral.
AUUGAACGCUGGCGGCAGGCCUAACACAUGCAAGUCGAACGAGUGGCGGACGGGUGAGUAAUGUCUGGGAAACUGCACGAUGGAGGGGGAUAAAUACUGGAAACGGUAGCGAAUACCGCAUACCAUCGGAUCUGGCAAGAAGGGAUUAGCUAGUAGGUGGGGUACAGGCUCACCUAGGCUACGAUCCCUAGCUGGUCUGAGAGGAGGAGCAGCCACACUGGAACUGAGACACGGUCCAGACUCCUACGGGAGGCAGCAGUGGGGAAUAUUGCACAAUGGGCGCAAGCCUGAUGCAGCCAUGCCGCGUGUAUGAAGAAGGCCUUCGGGUUGUAAAGUACUUUCAGCGAGGAGGCGUUACUCGCAGAAGAAGCACCGGCUAACUCCGUGCCAGCAGCCGCGGUAAUAC